Molecule: long non-coding RNA, 2066 nt
Organism: Zonotrichia albicollis (white-throated sparrow)
Lineage: Eukaryota; Metazoa; Chordata; Aves; Passeriformes; Passerellidae
Source: Ensembl
GUGCGGGGUCACGGUUACCGCUCAUGGUGAGUGUGGGUUAUUUGUGCAGGUGUGGGUUAUCUGUACAGGUGUGGGUUAUCGGUGCUGGGGCUGUACCUGGGCUACCUGCACCUAUACAGGAGUGCGGGGUCACGGUUACCGCUCAUGGUGAGUGUGGUUUAUUUGUACAGGUGUGGUUUAUCUGUACAGGUGUGGGUUAUCUGUACAGGUGUGGUUUAUCGGUGCUGGGGCUGUACCUGGGCUACCUGCACCUGUACAGGUGUGCGGGCUCACGGUUACCGCUCAUGGUGAGUGUGGGUUAUUUGUACAGGUGUGGGUUAACGGUACAGGUGUGAGUUAUCUGUACAGGUGUGGUUUAUUUGUACAGGUGUGAGUUAUCUGUACAGGUGUGGGUUAUUUGUACAGGUGUGGUUUAUCUGUGCUGGGCUACCUGCACCUGUACAGGUGUGCGGGCUCACGCCUGCCCCUCAUGGUGAGUGUGGGUUAUCUGUGCAGGUGUGGGUUAUCUGUACAGGUGUGUCAGGGUGUGAGUUAGCUGUACAGGUGUGGUUUAUCGGCGCUGGGGCUGUACCUGGGCUACCUGCACCUGUACAGGUGUGCGGGAUCACGCCUGCCCCUCAUGGUGAGUGUGGUUUAUCUGUACAGGUGUGGUUUAUCGGUGGUGGUAUGGGUUAUUUGUACAGGUGUGAGUUAUCUGUACAGGUGUGUGAGGGUGUGGGUUAUCUGUACAGGUGUGGGUUAUCUGUGCUGGGGCUGUACCUGGGCUACCUGCACCUGUACAGGUGUGCGGGGUCACGCCUGCCUCUCAUGGUGAGUGUGGGUUAUCUGUGCAGGUGUGGCUUAUCUGUACAGGUGUGGUUUAUCUGUACAGGUGUGUGAGGGUGUGGGUUAUCUGUACAGGUGUGGUUUAUUGGCACUGGGGCUGUACCUGGGCUACCUGCACCUGUACAGGUGUGCGGGCUCGCGCCUGCCCCUCAUGGUGAGUGUGGGUUAUUUGUACAGGUGUGGCUUAUCUGUACAGGUGUGGGUUACCUGUACAGGUGUGGUUUAUCGGUACAGGUGUGUCAGGGUGUGGUUUAUCUGUACAGGUGUGGUUUAUCUGUACAGGUGUGGUUUAUCUGAACACGUGUGUCAGGAUGUGAGUUAUCUGUACAGGUGUGGUUUAUCGGUGCUGGGGCUGUACCUGGGCUACCUGCACCUGUACAGGUGUGCGGGCUCACGGUUACCCCUGAUGGUGAGUGUGGGUUAUCUGUGCAGGUGUGGGUUAUCUGUACAGGUGUGGGUUAUCUGUACAGGUGUGGGUUAUCUGUGCAGGUGUGGGUUAUCGGUGCUGGGGCUGUACCUGGGCUACCUGCACCUGUACAGGUGUGCGGGGUCGCGCCUGCCCCUCAUGGUGAGUGUGGGUUAUCUGUACAGGUGUGGGUUAUCUGUGCUGGUGUGAGUUACCUGUACAGGUGUGGGUUAUCUGUACAGGUGUGGGUUAUCUGUACAGGUGUGGGUUAUCUGUGUUGGGCUACCUGCACCUGUACAGGUGUGCGGGGUCACGGUUACCGCUCAUGGUGAGUGUGGGUUAUCUGUGCAGGUGUGGUUUAUCUGUACAGGUGUGGGUUAUUUGUACAGGUGUGGUUUAUCGGUGGUGGUGUGAGUUACCUGUACAGGUGUGUCAGGGUGUGAGUUACCUGUACAGGUGUGGUUUAUCUGUACAUGUGUGUUAGCGUGUGUUUUACCUGUGCAGGUGUGUCAGGGUGUGAGUUACCUGUGCAGGUGUGGUUUGUCUGUGCUGGGCUACCUGCACCUGUACAGGAGUGCGGGCUCACGGUUACCGCUCAUGGUGAGUGUGGGUUAUUUGUGCAGGUGUGGGUUAUCUGUACAGGUGUGGGUUAUUUGUACAGGUGUGGGUUAUUUGUACAGGUGUGGGUUAUUUGUACAGGUGUGGUUUAUCUGUGCUGGGCUACCUGCACCUGUACAGGUGUGCGGGGUCACGGUUACCGCUCAUGGUGAGUGUGGGUUAUUUGUGCAGGUGUGGGUUAUCUGUACAGGUGUGGGUUAUCGGUGCUGGGGCUGUA